This 481-nucleotide ribosomal RNA is filed under the name uncultured bacterium. RNAcentral's name for it is "partial 16S ribosomal RNA". It matches the Rfam family "Bacterial small subunit ribosomal RNA", at positions 28 to 507 of the family's 1533-position model. The record is from RNAcentral.
GGCGAACGUUGGCGGCGUGCUUAAUACAUGCAAGUCCACUGAAGCAGUGGUAGCAAUAUCGCUGUGGAGGUGGCGCACGGGUGAGUAACACGUAGGUAAUCUGCCUUCAGGUCUGGCAUAACUCCGGGAAACCGGGGCUAAUAGCAGAUGAUGCAGCGGCUCGACAUCGAGACAGUUGUUAAAGCUAUGGCGCCUGAAGAUGAGCCUGCGUCUGAUUAGCUAGUUGGCGGGGUAACGGCCCACCAAGGCAACGAUCAGUAGCUGGUCUGAGAGGAUGAUCAGCCACACUGGAACUGAGACACGGUCCAGACUCCUACGGGAGGCAGCAGUAAGGAAUAUUGCUCAAUGGGAGAAAUCCUGAAGCAGCAACGCCGCGUGAGGGACGAAGGGCUUUUGCUUGUAAACCUCUGUAGUGAGAGAAAAAAAUCCCAAUCUUUGGGACAUGAUGGUAUCUCAAAAGUAAGCCCCGGCUAACUACGUG